Molecule: long non-coding RNA, 7319 nt
Organism: Peromyscus californicus insignis
Lineage: Eukaryota; Metazoa; Chordata; Mammalia; Rodentia; Cricetidae
Exons: 4
Source: RefSeq, a predicted model, not a curated record
UUGAGACAAGGUCUCUCGCCAGUCUGGAACUUGCUGAUGAGGCUAGCCCAGCUGCCUAGCAAGCCUAAGGACCUGCCUGGCUCUGCCUCCUUGGCACUGGAAUCACAGCCCUGCACCACCAGUGCCUGAUGUUUUUAUGUGGGUUCUAGGAAUCAAACUCGGGUCCUCACGCUUAUAAGAGCACUUUACCAACUGAGCCAUCUCCCAGGCUAUAUGGCUAUUUUUAUUUAUUUGUUUGUUUGUUUAUUAUUUGUUUUUGUGGUCUUUCAAGACAGGGUUUCUCUGUGUAGCCCUGGCUGUCCUGGAACUCAUCCCAAUCUCAUGUAGCCCAGGCUAGCCUGGAAUUCACCAUGUACUAUGACCACCUAAACCUACUGCCUUCACUGUCUCAGUGCUGAGAUUACAAGCUACUCUAGGCUACAAUAAAUGAUAUUAAUAAAAGCCUAAAAAUUACUAAUUUAUAAAAAAUGUCUAAUUAGGAUGAUUACGCUCUAUAUUUGUAACAAAUAAACAUUAUUCCCACUAGCAAAAUUUGGAGGCGACAAUAAAGAUGUGGCAGGAAGGAGCACUGUCCAGGCCCUUGUGCACAGCUUGGUUGUGAGUUGAGGCACUCAGUGAGUCUCAACAGCACUCUGCAGCUCAGGCUGCUGGUCCCUCAAUCAUUAUUUGGUAGCCUGAUACAUUAUUUAGUACAUCUGGCACAUUUUUACCACUAAAUUACAUAAACCUGUGGUGUUUUCCUUCCUUUGUGCUUAGCUUGUCUUGGGGCUCUUCCCUCCUGCCCAGCCUCACACUUGCUCUUUGUGGGAACUGCUGUCAGGUUAACAUUUAAAGUGUGCUCAGUAAGUGUGAUGGUUAAUGACACUAAUUAUACCAAGCAAUACUGAUUAUAAGUCAAGUCAUGAGCCAUAAGUAUCUGCCAUUAGAACUUCAUACCUUCAAUAUGAGAACAGCUUAUCCAAAUAUUUUAUUUCUCUUGACCAAGGUCCAUGUUUCUAGACAAUCGCCUCUUGUUCCAUUUCUGCUGCUUCCUGGUGAUCUGGAGCUCCAUGCUUAGUCUCCAUGGGCUGGCUAUUCUGUUUUUACACACUGUGCUGAGCCCUGUGGGGAUAAUACUUCAAGCUUUUACCACCCAGACAGUUGUGAAAUAUUAUUUUAAGAUGUGUUACAUUUGUUUAUGCUGUGGAACAUUUGUUUUAAUAAUGCAAAGAUGUGUUGCAUUCUUUUAUGUUGCAUUUGUUUAACUCUGUGAAGCUGUCUAAAAUACCUGAUGGUCUAAUAAAGAACUGAAGCCAAUAGCAAGGCAGGAGAAAGGAUAGGUGGGGCUGGCAGGCCAAGAGAAUAAAUAGAAGGAGAACUCUGGGAGGAGAAGGAGCAAGAGAACAAGGAGAAGAGGAUGCUAGGGGCCAGCCACCCAGCCAGCCAUGGAGUAAGAGUGAAAGUAAGAUAUACAUAAUUAAGAAGAGGAAAAAGCUCAAAGGCAAAAGAUAUAUGGGAUAAUUUGAAGUUAAGAAAAGCUGUCAAGAAACAAGCCAAGCUAUGGCCAGGUAUUUAGAAGAAAAAAUAAGCCUCCAGUGUGUGAUUUGUUUGGGAGCUAGGUGAUGGGCCCCCCCAAAGAGCCCACUUGACCACAAGCCAACAAAAAAUGGGAAGGAGAUGGAGGAGGGAGCAUCUGCCCCACCUGCCACUUGCCCCUCACUGCAGCCUUUGGACCUUCCCAUCAGGUUUACUGGGCUCUGGUUAUUCCAUCUCCUCAGCUUGCCCCUUUGCCUAUGGGUGGGAUGAGCUGCCCACUGCUGGUGGUUUUCUAGACCCUUUCCCGUCUAUGACAGAUCUGUUUAAAGCUGUCUAUACUGAAAACCUUCCUCCAUUCCUCCAUUAUAAUACAUCUCAUGGGCUAUAGUGAGAAUUAAAUAAGUGAAAGCAUCAGCAGGACUCAGAUCAACAGAGGGUGCAAACUGAACAAGAUGGGCGUUAUUAUUGUUACGGCUGCCCCACCAGCUUUUCCUACUCAUCCUGAAAGACAGGACUGAUGUUGCCAAUAAUAGGGAUGACCCAAUUUCCAGAAAGUCUUGGGUGUCUGGAGGCCUCAUGGACCCCCUUCUAUGAAGAUAUCCACAAAAUGGAUGGAGACUAGAAGGAAGUCACAAUGGCCACCCUCGGUGGGCCAGGCCUCAGAGUUUCCUACAUGUGGUAGGCAUAGACUGAAAGGCUUAGACAGUCCUGGAAAGAUUUGGGAUUCAGAAAUUGAACUUCCAAUUAGUUAAAUUUCUUCCAGUUCUGAUUUCAGAUGAUCCUUUGGCUGUAGUCGGAAGGUUUCUUGGGUCCUGCCUGGCCCCCCGAAUGCUGUAGGAUAAUGCUCUUGUACACUGGUUUAAUACAACGCUGAUUGGCCAGUAGUGAGGUAUAGGCAGGGUGAGCAGACUAGGAGAAUGCUGGAAAGAGGAAGGGCAGAGUCAGGAGUCACCAGCCAGACACAAAGGAAGCAAGAUGACCAGGCAGAACUGAGAAAAGGUACCAAGCCAUGUGGCUAAACAUAGAUAAGAAUUACGGGUUGAUGUAAGUGUAAGAGCUAGUCAGUAAUAAGCCUGAGUUAAUGACCAAAACAGUUAUAAAUAAUAUUAAGCCUCUGGUUGAUUAUUUUAUAAGCAGCUGCAGGACCACAGAUGAGAGAUUUGUCCAGACUGUGCGGGGCCAGGUGGGAUGAGAGAAACCUGACUACAUUUGGCCAAUAGGUCAUCAUGCACAGGAGGAUAAAACACCAAGACACAAUUCCUGUACUUCAUAGCUGGGCCCAAGCCAGCCUGCUGACAUCCAGGUUCUGAAGGCCAGGUGAGUCAGAGUGCUGGGAUUAACAGAUCUUACCAAAAAGAGAGUCAGUUACUUGGGUGCAUGCUCACAUUUAUCCUGGUGGAAGUUGGCUGGAGCAGGAACGGAGUGUAUGAGGGGCAUGGAGGGCAUAGAAGGGAACCUAGAGAUAUGUGCUGAGAGUGGGGCCAUCAAGGCUCUAGGAACUUGACAGGAUCCAGAGCUGCUCGGGCUCAACACUCUGAACUUCACAGUUAAGGUCUGUAAGGAUUUUGUCAGUAACUGCCUAAGCUGUGUCUAGUGCAGUGUUUCUCAGCCUUCCUAAUGCUGCGACCCUUUAAUACAGUUCCUCAUGUUGGUGGGGGGGGGGGGACCCCAAUCAUAAAAUUAAUUUCGUUGCUACUUUAUAACUGUAAUUUUGCUACUGUUAUGAAUCAUAAUGUAACUAUCUGAUAUAUAGGAUAUCUGAUAUGAGACACCUGUGAAAGGGUUGUUCUAUCCCAGGGGUUGUGACCAACAGGUUGAGAACCGGUAGUUGAGUGGCACAGCCUGUUAACCCGGCUACUCAGGAGACUGAGGAAGGAUUGAAGGUUCAGAGUUGCCUGGGAGUUCAAGUCUCAAGUGGAUAGCUUACUGAGACCCUGUCUUAAGAUGAAAUUUAAAAGGGCAUGUAGCACAAUAGUAGAGUGUUACCCAGCAUGCACCAGACCCCACUCCAAUUCCCAGAGCUCUAAAUAUGACAUUUAAUUUAGUCUAUCCUGAGAGUGGUUUUGAGUGGCAAAUAAGCAAAGUCAGGCAGAUCUUCCACAGUCCCUGACGUGACUCACAGACUCCAGCUGCUUGCACUCUUUAACACUCCCCAUUACUAAGACCCAUCACAGUUCCUAACACUCAGCUGGUGAGAAUGCUGCAGAUCCAAGUCAAUGAAAGAAACAAGGUGUGUGAGGAAAUUAUCAACAAAUGGGUACUUACAGUAGGUAUCAACCAACCUAGUCUCUCCUUUUCUCACAAAACCAAAGCCCAGGAAAAUUGCAAUGAUUACCUAAAACUCAUACAGUGGGGGGGAGUUGAGCACAGCAGCGGAGAGCUUCAAUAUCUAACUCGGAGCUAGACACUGUGGUUCAGGCCUGGAAUCCCAGCUUGGGAAGCAAGAAGGUCAGAAGCUCAAGGUCAUCCUCAGCUACAUAGUGAGUUUCAGGCCAGCCUGGGCUACACCAGACCCUGUCUCAAUCAGUCAAUCAAUAGUCAAAUUCUGAGGUGAGACCAACAGGGAUUCAAAUUCCAGCAUUUCCAGUCCAGAGCUCUUUGAGCAUGGGGAAGCCUUACUCAUUAAGCUUCUUUGUUCUCACCUGUAAAGGAAAAGUGCUGACAGUCCCUCAUAGACAGUUGUAAAUAUUAAGUGAGAUCACACCUGAAAAUCCAUCAGCAAAUGUCAGUUCUCAUUAUUGGUCUACUUCCAAUAGAAGUGCAAGUUUCUUCUGGAGAGAUGGAUCAGUAGUUAAGAGCACUGGUUGCUCUUGCAGAGGACCUGGGUUUAAUCUCCACCCACUUGGUGGCUCACAACCCUCUUUAACAGUAGUUCCAGGGAAUCUGAUGCUCUCUUCUGGCCUCUGUGGGUUCUGAACAAACAUAUUACAUAUACAUACAUAUAGCCAAAAUAAAACACCCACACUGUCUUAGUUAAGAGUUUCUAUUGCUGUAAGAGACACCAUGACCAUGGCAACUCUUAUAAAGGAAAUCAUUUAAUUAGGGUGGCUUGCUUACAGUUUCAGCAGCAUGUAGGCAGACAUGGUGCUGGAGCUGAGAGUCCUUAUAUCUUGACUCACAGGCAACAGGCAGUGGUCUGUCUCACUGGGUGUGGCUUGAGCAUAUAUGAGACCUCAAAGCCCACCUCUACAGUGACACACUUCCUCCAACAAGACCACACCUACCCUAACAAGGCCACUCUUCCUAACACUGCCACUCCCUUUGAGGGCCAUUUUUUUUUUCAAAUCAUCACAUAUACACAUAAAAUAAAAUCUUAAUAUUUUUUGCAUUUAUUUAUUUAUUGGGACAUAGGUGGGUGUAUGUGUCAUGACUCACUUGUGGAGGGCAGAGAGCAAACCAAGGCAGUCCAUUCCCUCCGUCCAUCUCCUGAACUAUGGAUCAACUCCUAGAGAGAUAGCUCACUGACCCAGGAGUUCCAACAGUAACUAAAAUAGAGGUUUCCUAAGAACAUUGGGAGGUCUCAUAAUAGUCUACUCUCUGGAUGAGGCAUGGAGAGCGUCAUGAGAGACAUCCUUUUAGAAGCAGAAGGUGGUGCCUUGAUGAUGUACAUGAUUGAAAGCUCUCUUUUGAAGAAAGGACCCAUUUCUGCUCAAAGCUCCUUUCCCUAAUUGUGGCCCAAGGAGACCCUGGGCAUGAAUACUGUUUCAUCAGGUCCCUGGGAACUGUGAAUCCAGGGUUUAUCUGUGCUGAUCUUAUUUAGGGUGGAUCUGCAAGUGACUGACAAACAGCCAUACUGGAGCCACACCCACCCUACAACCUAUGUCUGUAUCAUCAACUUUGGCUGUAAUCGUGCCACAGAGGGGCAUACCUGGUGAAAGGGAAGAUGCAGCUCUUCUGGGUGCACCAUGCCCACAGUGGCUCCUGCGUAUUCCAGGCACUUUUGACUUGAUCUCCACCCGAGAGAGCAGCAGGCUCAAAUUGGGACAAUUUUUAUCUUCCCUAUGAUUUGGGGCUUGGCAUUACAGCAUAUCUCCAUAGUAACUAAGGAUCUGUGAGAGCUAGCAUUCUAGUUGCUUCUCUUCAAUGACUCCAGCUGAGGCACAGCCCGACCCAUGGGUCAGAACAAGGCCAGAAGCAGUGCAGGAGGUACCCAGAGCCACUAAGCAGUACUUCAUCUGAGAGUGGACUCAUGUUGGUCUGGGUGUGAGAGGGAGAGUAAAGGACAAGCAGAGGAGGGAAUGGAAGGAAGACUCCACUAUGAUGUGAAGAUGGGUGGAGAGAGGCAAUGACUCCAGUAGGUGAAGAGAAAGACCGGAAAGAGGGUGAGGAAGCAAGGAGAAGGGAAGGCCGGAGGGAAGAGGAAAGAACAGAUAAGCUUGGUGGAGUGAUGAUCUCUUGCCAAGAAACUCAUGAAGUAUAUCAAUUAAUAUGGAAACAUCAUUGCAAGCUUGCCAGAUGCCAAAAGAAGAAUAUUAUCAACUUCCAGAUUAUUUGCUACAGAAUCAUACCUCACCCAGCUUAUGAAUUUACUUCAAGAGUGUACAAAGAUUACAAGGCCAUCAAAUAAGCAGUACUGUAGAAUUCAUUAAAGGAAGAGGGUCUGACAAGCCUGCAAUCCUUCAGUGUUUCCUAAAUCCAUUCCUCUCACGCUAUUAACAACUGCUUACUCAUAGAUCCCCACUCCCCUCAGGGGAGAGCUUCUACAGCAUCAAUGUUCUGGGAAAACCAGUGCCUAAGAUUCUUGGUCAAAGCAGCUUCUUUUGGAAUUGGGCAGCAGUCGAUGCAGACUCAUAACUGUCCAAGUCCUGGGAAUAAGUGACUGUCGGGUGCUCAGCCCUAAAUGGGUCAUCUGUAUCAACCACUGCCAAUACUCUGGGGAUUGCAUGGAAGAGGGAUGUAAGAGCUAGAGCGUAGGGAGGAAUCUGGUGAAUGGUCUUCGGUUAUGGUCAUUGUACUCAUGAACUCCCAGCAGCUAUGGUACCACCCCCACCACCCUGCACACUCACACAAGAUCAGGUCAGUUAAUGUUCCAGCAUGGAUAGGGUUGGGCUUGAGGUGACAUCCCUACUUGAUUGAGGAGGUACCAGCACUUGACAUCUGCUAGGGGAGGAAGGAAUCAUUUUUCCUCAGGGCUGUAACCUCUGCCCAAGCUCUCAUCAAUGGUUGCACAGCUAUGUAUCUGCAGGGAACACUAACUAGACUCAAAGGGUUAUAAGAAAGAAAAGAGGAGCAGUAAGGUUAGAAAGAGGGGCAGGAAGCUGAUAUGAUCAAAAGACACAGUAUACGUGUGAAGCUGUCAAACAGAAAAUACUAUUUAAAAUCUUUUAAAAACAAAACAAAGGGCUGGAGAGAUGGCUCAGCAGUUAAAAAUACUGGCUGCUCUUGCAGAGGACCAGGGUUUGGUUCCUGGCACGGCGUAACAGUUCACACCAUCUGUAAUUCUAGUUCCAGGGCACCUGAUAUUCCUUUUGGCCUCCACGGGCACCAAGCAUGCACACACUGCACAUACAUAUAUAAGGCAAACACUCAUACACACUAAAAAUCCUUUAAAAAAAAUUCAUUAUCAAUAGUGAAAAUUUGAGGCUCAAAACCUAGCUCUAUUACUUUCCCUUUUCUUGAUUAUCUCAAUGCACUGAUUGUAAAGACAAAAUGAAAUAUGUACUUAGCACCACAUCUGGCAUGUGGCUCACUCUGUGGCAAUUCCCCAGAACUUCCAAACUGAAGACGACCUGAAUGGAAACUGAUACUCAUUUUGAACUUGGGGAGGAGGGUCUGUUUGCAAUAAACAUCUAAACUGAGUGUUA